This 460-nucleotide ribosomal RNA is filed under the name uncultured bacterium. RNAcentral's name for it is "partial 16S ribosomal RNA". It matches the Rfam family "Bacterial small subunit ribosomal RNA", at positions 338 to 795 of the family's 1533-position model. The record is from RNAcentral.
CCUACGGGUGGCAGCAGUGAGGAAUAUUGGUCAAUGGGCGCGAGCCUGAACCAGCCAAGCAGCGUGAAGGAUGACUGCCCUACGGGUUGUAAAAUUCUUUUAUAAAGGAAUAAAGUCAGGCACGUGUGCCUUUUUUUAUGUACUUUAUGAAUAAGGAUCGGCUAACUCCGUGACAGCAGCCGCGGUCAUACGGAGGAUCCGAGCGUUAUCCGUAUUUAUUGGGUUUAAAGGGAGCGUAGAUGGGUUGUUAAGUCAGUUGUGAAAGUUUGUGGCUCAAACGUAAAAUUGCAAUUGAUACUGGCAGCCUUGAGUACAGUUGAGGGAGGCGGAAUUCGUGGUGUAGCGGUGAAAUGCUUAGAUAUCACGAAGAACUCCGAUUGCGAAGGCAGCUUACUAAACUGCCACUGACAUUGAUGCUCGAAAGUGUGGGUAGCAAACAGGAUUAGAUACCCUAGUAGUC